AACUUUCAACAACGGAUCUCUUGGUUCUGGCAUCGAUGAAGAACGCAGCGAAAUGCGAUAAGUAAUGCGAAUUGCAGAAUUCCAGUGAGUCAACGAAUCUUUGAACGCACAUUGCGCCCUUUGGUAUUCCGAAGGGCAUGCCUGUUCGAGCGUCAUUAUCACCCCUCAAGCCCCUGGCUUGGUGUUGGAUGGCUCGGCGAGGGCUUCGGCCCCCGCCCCUCCUAAAGAAAAUGACGGCGGCCUCGUUGGACCCCCGGUACACUGAGUUCUUCACGGGACACGUACUGGACACAAGGGCCCACGGGACACGGUCUCACUCCCCCUCGGGAGAACUUUUAUCAAGGUUGACCUCGGAUCAGGUAGGGAUACCCGCUGAACUUAAGCAUAUCAAUAAGCGGAGGCU
RNAcentral lists this unclassified non-coding RNA (403 nucleotides) under uncultured Chaetothyriales. RNAcentral's name for it is "sequence contains ITS2". The stretch from base 1 to 155 matches the Rfam family "5.8S ribosomal RNA". Lineage: Eukaryota; Fungi; Ascomycota; Eurotiomycetes; Chaetothyriales. The record is from RNAcentral.